Molecule: long non-coding RNA, 1042 nt
Filed under: Junco hyemalis (dark-eyed junco)
Lineage: Eukaryota; Metazoa; Chordata; Aves; Passeriformes; Passerellidae
Description: lncRNA (ENSJHYG00000013399.1)
Source: RNAcentral
GACACGGGGUUCAUUUGCAUAGCGGCCCGGCGUGUGCGACUGGGGGAGGUGGUGUUUGUGCCCGGGGCGCGUUGCGAGUUUGAAUCCACAGCGGCGGCGGCAGUACAGCAGGAGCGGCAGCGGCUGCUCGGGCGGGAGCUGCCGCGGGACGCGAGGGCGCAGUCCUACAGGAAGGUAUGAAGGAGAGUGUUGCUGCAGAUACUAAGAAUUUCUUGGAAGAGAAGAAACCAAACACAAAAACCACUGCUGUUUGAUACGUGAUCUUGGGUAGGUAAUUUCUCAGUUUCAGACCUAUGAACUGGGGCUAAUGAUUGUUGUCAGGCAAAUUGUAAAAUAUAUUUGUUAACAAUUUCAUGAGGAUUUAUGCAUUUUAUGAAUUGUGGUAACUGCAUCCACUAAUUAUUCUUGACGUAUAGCAGUUUUUAUCUUAUAUGCUCCAGAACUACCAAGUUAAAUUUUUAUGUGUAUAUAACUGAGGGAGCAUUAUAUUAACAAUUUUGGAUUCUUCUUACAUUUUUAGUUUGGAGAACUUAGUACAUUUCUUGGAGUAAACAGUAUUUUUAUCAGCUGCAACCUUUCUACCAAGUGUAGCAGUGCUGAGCUGAUGCUUUCUGUGAUAAUAUGGAACAGUGUUGUAUUUUGUGCUAUGAAAUAAUUUACUGAAAGUGUUUUGGAUGUUGUGUAGACUUAAAACUAAUCAUGGUACCGUUCAUUUGUAAAAUGAUUCAACAAUAAUUAUAUGCAUCAAUUUAAAUUGUUAUUUUGAUGACUUUUUUUGUGAAACCACUUAUUUUCUACCCCAUUUGAAGUCUGUUUUCAAGGAGAUGCUGAUUCUAAUAGAUACAUCUUUUUUGCCACGUUUCCUGUACCUUCAUAAGCCGUAGUUUGUUUUAUUGUACUCAUUUCAAAAACUUACAAAACCAACAUUAACUAUAGCAUGUGAAUUUCUCUAUAAAAGCUCCUUUGGUAAUCCCUCCUCUGGGAAUGUAAAACACAUAAGCAUAUGCUUUCCUACCAUCAUGGAAGGUGAUUUUUCCAGCCG